This 379-nucleotide ribosomal RNA is filed under the name uncultured bacterium. Its description in RNAcentral is "partial 16S ribosomal RNA". It matches the Rfam family "Bacterial small subunit ribosomal RNA", at positions 338 to 732 of the family's 1533-position model. The record is from RNAcentral.
CCUACGGGAGGCAGCAGUGGGGAAUAUUGGGCAAUGGGCGCAAGCCUGACCCAGCAACGCCGCGUGAAGGAAGAAGGCUUUCGGGUUGUAAACUUCUUUUGACAGGGAAGAGUAGAAGACGGUACCUGUAGAAUAAGCCACGGCGAACUACGUGCGAGCAGCCGCGGUAAUACGUAGGUGGCAAGCGUUGUCCGGAUUUACUGGGUGGAAAGGGCGGGGAGCCGGGUUGACAAGUCAGAGGUGAAAUCCUGCGGCUUAACCGGAGAACUGCAUUUGAAACUGGUGAUCUGGAGUACUGGAGAGGCAAACGGAAUUCCUGGUGUAGCGGUGAAAUGCGUAGAUAUUAGGAGGAACACCAGUGGCGAAGGCGGUCUGCUGG